GUGCACGCUGGCGGUAGGCCUAACACCUGCAAGUCGAACGGCAGCACAGUAAGAGCUUGCUCUUACGGGUGGCGAGUGGCGGACGGGUGAGGAAUACAUCGGAAUCUACUUUUUCGUGGGGGAUAACGUAGGGAAACUUACGCUAAUACCGCAUACGACCUACGGGUGAAAGCAGGGGAUCUUCGGACCUUGCGCGAUUGAAUGAGCCGAUGUCGGAUUAGCUAGUUGGCGGGGUAAAGGCCCACCAAGGCGACGAUCCGUAGCUGGUCUGAGAGGAUGAUCAGCCACACUGGAACUGAGACACGGUCCAGACUCCUACGGGAGGCAGCAGUGGGGAAUAUUGGACAAUGGGCGCAGGCCUGAUCCAGCCAUACCGCGUGGGUGAAGAAGGCCUUCGGGUUGUAAAGCCCUUUUGUUGGGAAAGAAAAGCAGCAGGUUAAUACCCCGCUGUUCUGACGGUACCCAAAGAAUAAGCACCGGCUAACUUCGUG
RNAcentral lists this ribosomal RNA (491 nucleotides) under uncultured bacterium. RNAcentral's name for it is "partial 16S ribosomal RNA". It matches the Rfam family "Bacterial small subunit ribosomal RNA", at positions 29 to 507 of the family's 1533-position model. The record is from RNAcentral.